AGUGGUGGACGGGUGAGUAACGCGUGAGAAUCUGCCUUGGGGUCGGGGACAACCACUGGAAACGGUGGCUAAUACCGGAUACGCCUUCGGGUAAAAGAUUUAUUGCCCUAAGAGGAGCUCGCGUCUGAUUAGCUAGUUGGUGAGGUAAGAGCUCACCAAGGCAGCGAUCAGUAGCUGGUCUGAGAGGACGAUCAGCCACACUGGGACUGAGACACGGCCCAGACUCCUACGGGAGGCAGCAGUGGGGAAUUUUCCGCAAUGGGCGAAAGCCUGACGGAGCAAGACCGCGUGAGGGAGGAAGGCUCUUGGGUUGUAAACCUCUUUUCUCAGGGAAGAAGCUCUGACGGUACCUGAGGAAUCAGCCUCGGCUAACUCCGUGCCAGCAGCCGCGGUAAUACGGAGGAGGCAAGCGUUAUCCGGAAUUAUUGGGCGUAAAGCGUCCGCAGGUGGCGAUUCAAGUCUGCUGUCAAAGCACGGGGCUUAACUCCGUAAAGGCAGUGGAAACUGAAUAGCUAGAGUGCCGUAGGGGUAGAGGGAAUUCCCGGUGUAGCGGUGAAAUGCGUAGAGAUCGGGAAGAACAUCGGUGGCGAAAGCGCUCUACUGGACGGCAACUGACACUCAGGGACGAAAGCUAGGGGAGCGAAUGGGAUUAGAUACCCC
Molecule: ribosomal RNA, 660 nt
Filed under: uncultured bacterium
Lineage: Bacteria
Description: bacterial SSU rRNA
Rfam family: Bacterial small subunit ribosomal RNA
Source: RNAcentral